This 988-nucleotide long non-coding RNA is filed under the name Marmota monax (woodchuck). Lineage: Eukaryota; Metazoa; Chordata; Mammalia; Rodentia; Sciuridae. The record is from RNAcentral.
UUCACAGUACUUUAAAAACGACAUUUAACGAUUAUUGUAAUUAUUCUUUGACUUUUCUGUUCUUUGAUGUUACUGCUGCUGCUUUGCCUCAUGCAUCUUUUUUUUUUUCUUCAAGGUUAGUUUGGCUUACCAUAUGACUUUAGAACUGUCUCAUCUUUCAGAUGAGAAAAAACUUUGUUCCCAAAAGGUUCAGUGACAUGUUUGGUGGGGCAGAGCUGGUACUAGAUCUCAGGUUCCUUUAGCAGAUUUUUCCUGAGCGCCUAUUGCACUGUUACUGAUCUUAGAGUUACACAGAUUAAAAGAUAAGGCAUCUUCCCUCAAGGAACUCAAGCUAGUGAGAGAUUGAGCGUAAAAAACAAUUUGUAAUCAAAUAUGAAAAUUUCUCUGGUGGAGAACCCUGUGAAGUUCAAGAAACACAGGAGUGUUAAUAUAUCAUUUGAUUUUGAAUGUCAGAAAAGAAUUCAGAGGAAACAAUAUUCAAUCUAGGAAUACAAACUUAGACAAAAAAGGGAGGGCAUUCCAGACAGAGGGGAAACUGUUUUUGCAAAGGCUUAAUAUUAUGCUCAUGCCAAUCCUCCCAUAUUAAGCUAUAACUUCAGUAUAAUUCCAAACCAAAUUUUUAUAGCAUUUUCCUAAAACUUGAUUAGAUUAUUCUAAAACAGGUGAGAAUAGAUAGUACAACAAUGAACAGCAAUGAGGGAGCAGGGAGACUUGCCCUGCCAGGGAUCAAAAUACACCAUAAGGAUAUAUUAAUUAAAACUGUGUGGUAUUUAUGUAAGAAAAGACAAGCAGAAGAACAGAACAAUACAGAUUCCAAAAACAAAACCUGUAAAUUGUGUAAGGAAAAUAUAAAUGACUAGAUAUAAUUACCACUGCAGGGCUCAUUCAACUCCAUUUUUCCAGCAAUUAAACCCUUAACUUUUAAAUCUAGAGAAAUGAUUGCUAUGGAUAUGAAUUGAAUUAAUUAUUUGCAAAGGAAGAAUUUUUA